AUUGAACGCUGGCGGCAGGCCUAACACAUGCAAGUCGAGCGGAUGAAGGGAGCUUGCUCCUGGAUUCAGCGGCGGACGGGUGAGUAAUGCCUAGGAAUCUGCCUGGUAGUGGGGGAUAACGUCCGGAAACGGGCGCUAAUACCGCAUACGUCCUGAGGGAGAAAGUGGGGGAUCUUCGGACCUCACGCUAUCAGAUGAGCCUAGGUCGGAUUAGCUAGUUGGUGGGGUAAAGGCCUACCAAGGCGACGAUCCGUAACUGGUCUGAGAGGAUGAUCAGUCACAUUGGAACUUAGCCAGGGACCAGACUCCUAAGGGAGGCAGCAGUGGGGAACAGUGGACAAUGGGCGAAAGCCUGAUCCAGCCAUGCCGAGUGUGUGAAGAAGGUCUUCGGAUUGUAAAGCACGUUAAGGUGGGAUGAAGGGCAGUAAGUUAAUACCUUGCUGUUUUGACGUUACCAACAGAAUAAGCACCGGCUAACUUCGUG
RNAcentral lists this ribosomal RNA (484 nucleotides) under uncultured bacterium. RNAcentral describes it as "partial 16S ribosomal RNA". It matches the Rfam family "Bacterial small subunit ribosomal RNA", at positions 30 to 507 of the family's 1533-position model. The record is from RNAcentral.